GUGAUUUCUAUGUAUUCUCAACAAAAAUACUCUGCUAGUGAUGUAGCUCUAAUCAAUGGAGGAACACCAGGUUCUUGACUCGCACGAUUUAGAUAAAACAACAUGGACACACGUGGAGUGGUUUUAAGGAGUGGAGUUUAAUAAGCAAGAAAGAAAAGAGAAGGCAAAAGGAAGAGGCUCCCCCAUACAGAAACAGAGGGAGGGGGGCUCCAAAGCUAAAAGAGGAGACUCCAUAUCCCACAGAUACCAGCCAGGAAGACAUGAGACAUUCAAUCAACAUAUGUAAAAUGAACACUGGUUUGGUCUGGAAAAGCGGAACAACUCAAAGCAAAAGGGAGACAACUCAAAGCAAGAGGGGGCUUCCAGGUCACAGGGUCUCACUCUGUCAUCCAGGCUGGAGUGCAAUGGUGUAAUCUUGGCUCACUGCAGCCUUGAUCUCCUGGAUUCAAGCAAUCCUCUCCCGCUUAGCCUCCCAAGUAGCUGGGACUACAGAUUCAUGCUUGUUUUUAAUUAAGAAACCACCUCUAAGAGCUAUGUGAAUAAGAACUCCAGGUUUCUUUCUCAAAGAAAGCACAGACAGAGAAAGAAUUAUGGUUAGAGAAUGGGAGAGGAGAAAGUAAAUGAAAAAUAAAAAAUAUGGGAAUGUCCUUGCAUCAACAGAAAUUUCCUCUGAAGUCAACUCUGCUGAAAAUAUAAUAUACCUGUUCUCCAGGAAAGAAAACAACAAUAUAUUUUCUGAUUAUUCAAGAAAUGACAUGGGAUCUCGAAAAGCACUAAUUUCUAGGCGCAUCUAUCCUGAGAUUUGAAACUUGCUUCAUAAAGUUCAAGAUCUCAAAUUUUGUGUAGUUGA
RNAcentral lists this long non-coding RNA (850 nucleotides) under Pongo abelii (Sumatran orangutan). Its description in RNAcentral is "lincRNA". The record is from RNAcentral. Lineage: Eukaryota; Metazoa; Chordata; Mammalia; Primates; Hominidae.